GUGUAUGAUGAGAAACCUAUUUUUAUGUAACUCGGGAGAACUGAGCAUAUUACCUGAUGAGUAAACAAUCAAUCGUUAGAUAGUAGCACUGAUGU
Molecule: small nucleolar RNA, 95 nt
Organism: Trypanosoma brucei brucei TREU927
Lineage: Eukaryota; Euglenozoa; Kinetoplastea; Trypanosomatida; Trypanosomatidae
Source: RefSeq, a predicted model, not a curated record